UCUCCGUUGGUGAACCAGCGGAGGGAUCAUUACCGAAGUUACCUUCAAAACCCACUGUGAACCUUACCUCUUGCCGCGUUGUCUCGGAGGGAGGCGGUGUGCGUCGCGCGCCCUAGCGGGCCGCGCCGCUCCCGUCCCCGCCGGCAGCGCCAAACUCUAAAUGCACAGCGGACUGUACGUUCUGAUUUACAAUGAAAACAAGUUAAAACUUUCAACAACGGAUCUCUUGGUUCUG
Molecule: unclassified non-coding RNA, 235 nt
Filed under: plant metagenome
Description: partial contains small subunit ribosomal RNA, internal transcribed spacer 1, and 5.8S ribosomal RNA
Source: RNAcentral